RNAcentral lists this transfer RNA (94 nucleotides) under Streptomyces griseoloalbus. Its description in RNAcentral is "tRNA-Leu(gag)". Lineage: Bacteria; Bacillati; Actinomycetota; Actinomycetes; Kitasatosporales; Streptomycetaceae. The record is from RNAcentral.
CCCCGCCCACGGCGGAGCCCCCACCGGCACGGCUGAGGGCCGUGCCCGGAGAUCUCCGGGCCGGCCCUCAGCCGUUCAGAGCGGGCGACGGGAA